GACGAACGCUGGCGGCGUGCUUAACACAUGCAAGUCGAACGGAAAGGCCCUGCUUGCAGGGUACUCGAGUGGCGAACGGGUGAGUAACACGUGGGUGAUCUGCCCUGCACUUCGGGAUAAGCCUGGGAAACUGGGUCUAAUACCGGAUAGGAGCCAUUUUUUGUGUGAUGGUUGGAAAGUUUUUUCGGUGUAGGAUGAGCUCGCGGCCUAUCAGCUUGUUGGUGGGGUAAUGGCCUACCAAGGCGGCGACGGGUAGCCGGCCUGCGAGGGUGGACGGCCACAUUGGGACUGAGGGACGGCCCAGACGCCUACGGGAGGCAGCAGGGGGGAAGAUUGCACAAGGGGCGCAAGCCGGAUGCAGCGACGCUGCGGGGGGGAUGACGGCCUUCGGGUUGGAAACUCCUUUCGCUAGGGACGAAGCUUUUUGUGACGGUACCUAGAGAAGAAGCACCGGCUAACUACGUG
This 465-nucleotide ribosomal RNA is filed under the name uncultured bacterium. RNAcentral describes it as "partial 16S ribosomal RNA". It matches the Rfam family "Bacterial small subunit ribosomal RNA", at positions 28 to 507 of the family's 1533-position model. The record is from RNAcentral.